GAACGCACCUUGCGCCCUUUGGCCAUUCCGAAGGGCAUGCCUGUUUGAGUAUCAUGAACACCUCAACUCUUCAUGGUUUUCCAUGAUGAGUUUGGACUUUGGGGGUUUUGCUGGCCCUACGGUCAGCUCCUCUGAAAUAAAUCAGCUUGCCAGUGUUUGGUGGGUAUCAUAGGUGUGAUAACUAUCUACGCUUGUGGUUCUUCCACCAGGUAACCUUCAGCAGUGGAGGUUCACUGGAGCUCAUAAACGUCUCUCCUCAGCGAGGACAGCUCUUUUGAAUGUUUGAUCUCAAAUCAGGUAGGACUACCCGCUGAACUUAAG
RNAcentral lists this unclassified non-coding RNA (321 nucleotides) under uncultured Tomentella. RNAcentral's name for it is "sequence contains 5.8S rRNA gene". Lineage: Eukaryota; Fungi; Basidiomycota; Agaricomycetes; Thelephorales; Thelephoraceae. The record is from RNAcentral.